UUGGAGGGCAAGUCUGGUGCCAGCAGCCGCGGUAAUUCCAGCUCCAAUAGCGUAUAUUAAAGUUGUUGCAGUUAAAAAGCUCGUAGUUGAAUUUCGGGGUUAGUAGGUUGGUCAUGCCUCUGGUAUGUACUGGUCUCACUGACUCCUCCUUCCUGAUGAGCCGUAAUGCCAUUAAUUUGGUGUUGCGGGGAAUUUGGACUGUUACUUUGAAAAAAUUAGAGUGUUUAAAGCAAGCUAACGCUUGAAUACAUUAGCAUGGAAUAAUGAAAUAGGACGUUCGAUCCUAUUUUGUUGGUUUCUAGGAUUGACGUAAUGAUUAAUAGGGAUAGUUGGGGGCAUUAGUAUUCAAUUGUCAGAGGUGGAAUUCUUGGAUUUAUUGAAGACUAACUACUGCGAAAGCAUUUGCCAAGGAUGUUUUCAUUAAUCAAGAACGAAAGUUAGGGGAUCGAAGACGAUCGGAUACCGUCGUAGUCUUAACCAUAAACUAUGCCGACUAGGGAUCGGAUGAUGUUAAUUUUUUAAUGACUCAUUCGGCGCCUUACGGGAAACCAAAGUGUUUGGGUUC
Molecule: ribosomal RNA, 565 nt
Filed under: uncultured Glomeromycotina
Lineage: Eukaryota; Fungi; Glomeromycota
Description: SSU rRNA
Rfam family: Eukaryotic small subunit ribosomal RNA
Source: RNAcentral